UAGUACCGUGAUUUGAUUUGG
This is a non-coding RNA of Caenorhabditis elegans, 21 nucleotides long. The record is from Ensembl. NCBI's taxonomy places the organism in Eukaryota, Metazoa, Nematoda, Chromadorea, Rhabditida, Rhabditidae.